This 700-nucleotide ribosomal RNA is filed under the name Salmonella enterica subsp. enterica serovar Typhi. RNAcentral describes it as "partial 23S ribosomal RNA". It matches the Rfam family "Bacterial large subunit ribosomal RNA", at positions 2231 to 2925 of the family's 2925-position model. Lineage: Bacteria; Pseudomonadati; Pseudomonadota; Gammaproteobacteria; Enterobacterales; Enterobacteriaceae. The record is from RNAcentral. RNAcentral also lists the same sequence under 1 other name.
ACCCGUGAUCCGGGUUGCGGACAGUGUCUGGUGGGUAGUUUGACUGGGGCGGUCUCCUCCUAAAGAGUAACGGAGGAGCACGAAGGUUGGCUAAUCCUGGUCGGACAUCAGGAGGUUAGUGCAAUGGCAUAAGCCAGCUUGACUGCGAGCGUGACGGCGCGAGCAGGUGCGAAAGCAGGUCAUAGUGAUCCGGUGGUUCUGAAUGGAAGGGCCAUCGCUCAACGGAUAAAAGGUACUCCGGGGAUAACAGGCUGAUACCGCCCAAGAGUUCAUAUCGACGGCGGUGUUUGGCACCUCGAUGUCGGCUCAUCACAUCCUGGGGCUGAAGUAGGUCCCAAGGGUAUGGCUGUUCGCCAUUUAAAGUGGUACGCGAGCUGGGUUUAGAACGUCGUGAGACAGUUCGGUCCCUAUCUGCCGUGGGCGCUGGAGAACUGAGGGGGGCUGCUCCUAGUACGAGAGGACCGGAGUGGACGCAUCACUGGUGUUCGGGUUGUCAUGCCAAUGGCACUGCCCGGUAGCUAAAUGCGGAAGAGAUAAGUGCUGAAAGCAUCUAAGCACGAAACUUGCCCCGAGAUGAGUUCUCCCUGAGACUUUAGGUCUCCUGAAGGAACGUUGAAGACGACGACGUUGAUAGGCCGGGUGUGUAAGCGCAGCGAUGCGUUGAGCUAACCGGUACUAAUGAACCGUGAGGCUUAACCUU